GAAAAGACAAACCGCGGGUUUGCGUGUCAAUGUUUGACUGUCCGUCUUAUAUUAAUUUUUUUAUAAUUAGUAUUUUCAUUGUUGUUAGAUGAUAAAACAUGAUGAAUACUUUAUGCGUGACUUAUCUUUUUAUUUUUUUCAUAAUUUUUUCAAAUAAGACGGACGGUCAAACAUUGGACACGAAAACCAGGGUUUGUCUUUUU
Non-coding RNA from Oryza glaberrima (African rice), 203 nucleotides. NCBI's taxonomy places the organism in Eukaryota, Viridiplantae, Streptophyta, Magnoliopsida, Poales, Poaceae. The record is from Rfam.